RNAcentral lists this ribosomal RNA (428 nucleotides) under uncultured archaeon. Its description in RNAcentral is "bacterial SSU rRNA". It matches the Rfam family "Archaeal small subunit ribosomal RNA", at positions 474 to 903 of the family's 1478-position model. The record is from RNAcentral.
UACCAGCUCUCCGAGUGGUAGGGAUGAUUAUUGGGCUUAAAGCGUCCGUAGCCGGCUUAGCAAGUCUCCUGUUAAAUUCAGCGACCUAAUCGUUGAGCCGCGGGAGAUACUACUAGGCUAGGAGGCGGGAGAGGUCAACGGUACUUCCGGGGUAGGGGUGAAAUCCUAUAAUCCCGGGAGGACCACCAGUGGCGAAGGCUGUUGACUAGAACGCGCUCGACGGUGAGGGACGAAAGUUGGGGGAGCGAACCGGAUUAGAUACCCGGGUAGUCCCAGCUGUGAACGAUGCGAGCUAGGUGUUGGGGUGGCUACGUGCCACUUCAGUGCCGCAGGGAAGCCAUUAAGCUCGCCGCCUGGGGAGUACGGCCGCAAGGCUGAAACUUAAAGGAAUUGGCGGGGAGCACCACAAGGCGUGAAGCUUGCGGUUC